AGAUGUCCCUGUCCUCACCUGAAGCCACACAACCUGGGCCCAAGCCUACCUGGGGUUCAAGGCUCAUUCUCUUUUCAAGUAUCCAACAAGUCUCCUGAGUCCUGAGCAUUCCCAGGGGACCCAGUGGGUCCUACAGGCCAUGCCAACCAGGGCAGAGUUACAGGUGUUAUUGGGAUCACAGAACCUGUGAGUUCAGAAGUGGGGUCCAGCUUGCAGAGCUGGGUAUCCAAGGAAGAAGGAAGCCAAAGGCAAGAGUAUUCUCUUUCUCCAUCACAUCCAAGAGUUCUCUGAGAAAGGGGGAGAGGUCCAAAGCCAUGAAGAGUCCCUCUUCAUACUCAACAGCUCAGGGAAGAAACCCCAGUCAAAGGCUUCCAAAUCCUAAGGCUUGGUGUGCUGUGUCCAAGGCCCACUGAGCUGGGAAGAAAAAGACUCCCACCCCUGGCAGGAAGCAGGAAGGAUCCGCCAGGCCUGGAGCAUUCCUUCCUCCACAGUCUGCUAUAGGCCAAAGAGAGAACAAGAAGCAAAA
RNAcentral lists this long non-coding RNA (526 nucleotides) under Mus musculus (house mouse). RNAcentral describes it as "predicted gene, 57037". The record is from RNAcentral. Lineage: Eukaryota; Metazoa; Chordata; Mammalia; Rodentia; Muridae.